UUCCCUUCGGGGACAUUGGUGACAGGUGGUGCAUGGUUGUCGUCAGCUCGUGUCGUGAGAUGUUGGGUUAAGUCCCGCAACGAGCGCAACCCUUGUCUUUAGUUGCCAUCAUUAAGUUGGGCACUCUAGAGAGACUGCCAGGGAUAACCUGGAGGAAGGUGGGGAUGACGUCAAAUCAUCAUGCCCCUUAUGCUUAGGGCUACACACGUGCUACAAUGGGUAGUACAGAGGGUUGCCAAGCCGUAAGGUGGAGCUAAUCCCUUAAAGCUACUCUCAGUUCGGAUUGUAGGCUGAAACUCGCCUACAUGAAGCUAGAGUUACUAGUAAUCGCAGAUCAGAAUGCUGCGGUGAAUGCGUUCCCGGGUCUUGUACACACCGCCCGUCACACCACGGGAGUUGGAGACGCCCGAAGCCGAUUAUCUAACCUGGUGGAAGAAGUCGUCGAAGGUGGAAUCAAUAACUGGGGUGAAGUCGUAACAAGGUAGCCGUAUCGGAAGGUGCGGCUGGAUCACCUCCUUUCUAAGGA
RNAcentral lists this ribosomal RNA (526 nucleotides) under Clostridioides difficile. Its description in RNAcentral is "bacterial SSU rRNA". It matches the Rfam family "Bacterial small subunit ribosomal RNA", at positions 1014 to 1533 of the family's 1533-position model. The record is from RNAcentral. Lineage: Bacteria; Bacillati; Bacillota; Clostridia; Peptostreptococcales; Peptostreptococcaceae.